CUGAGUUUGAUCCCUGGCUCAGGACGAACGCUGGCGGCGUGCCUAACACAUGCAAGUCGAGCGAAGUUUUCAAAGAUGAUUUCUUCGGAAUGAAACUUUGAUUAUCUUAGCGGCGGACGGGUGAGUAACGCGUGAGAAACCUGCCUUUUACAAAGGGAUAGCCUCGGGAAACUGGGAUUAAUACCUUAUGAUACUUAAUUUUCGCAUGAAAUUUAAGUCAAAGCAUAAAGCGGUAAAAGAUGGUCUCGCGUCCCAUUAGUUAGUUGGUGAGGUAAUGGCUCACCAAGACCGCGAUGGGUAGCCGGCCUGAGAGGGUGAACGGCCACACUGGAACUGAGACACGGUCCAGACUCCUACGGGAGGCAGCAGUGGGGAAUAUUGCACAAUGGAGGAAACUCUGAUGCAGCGACGCCGCGUGAACGAUGAAGGCCUUCGGGUCGUAAAGUUCUGUCCUAAGGGACGAUAAUGACGGUACCUAGGAGGAAGCCCC
This 490-nucleotide ribosomal RNA is filed under the name Tissierella sp. CE5 PV-2008. Its description in RNAcentral is "bacterial SSU rRNA". It matches the Rfam family "Bacterial small subunit ribosomal RNA", at positions 1 to 494 of the family's 1533-position model. Lineage: Bacteria; Bacillati; Bacillota; Tissierellia; Tissierellales; Tissierellaceae. The record is from RNAcentral.